UAGGGAAUCUUGCGCAAUGGGCGAAAGCCUGACGCAGCGACGCCGCGUGCGGGAAGAAGGCCUUCGGGUUGUAAACCGCUUUCAGGAGGGACGAAGCCACUCGGGUUAAUAGCCCAGAGGGUGACGGUAGCGGGAGAAGAAGCCCCGGCUAAUUCCGUGCCAGCAGCCGCGGUAAUACGGAAGGGGCUAGCGUUGUUCGGAAUCACUGGGCGUAAAGCGCGCGUAGGCGGCUUGGCAAGUGCGGCGUGAAAGUCCUGGGCUCAACCUGGGGACGGCGCUGCGGACUGCUUGGCUGGAGUCCGGAAGAGGGUGGUGGAAUUCCGAGUGUAGAGGUGAAAUUCGUAGAUAUUCGGAGGAACACCGGUGGCGAAGGCGGCCACCUGGUCCGGUACUGACGCUGAAGCGCGAAAGCGUGGGGAGCAAACAGGAUUAGAUACCCUGGUAGUCCACGCCGUAAACGAUGGGUGCUAGAUGUCGGGGGGCUUGCCCUUCGGUGUCGUAGCCAACGCGUUAAGCACCCGCCG
RNAcentral lists this ribosomal RNA (524 nucleotides) under uncultured Pseudomonadota bacterium. RNAcentral describes it as "bacterial SSU rRNA". It matches the Rfam family "Bacterial small subunit ribosomal RNA", at positions 355 to 873 of the family's 1533-position model. Lineage: Bacteria; Pseudomonadati; Pseudomonadota. The record is from RNAcentral.